Molecule: non-coding RNA, 92 nt
Organism: Diplogelasinospora grovesii
Lineage: Eukaryota; Fungi; Ascomycota; Sordariomycetes; Sordariales; Diplogelasinosporaceae
Source: the annotation of a GenBank genome assembly
GGGAUAAUAGUAUAGUGGUCAGUACUUCUCGUUGUGGUGUCUCAGUGGGCCACAAAUCCGAGAGGACCCAGGUUCGAUUCCUGGUUAUCCCA